UUUUAGAAGUUAUACGCGUCAAAUAAGUGAAGCAGUUAAAUUAAUUAUAAUAUAUUAAAUAAAAUAAACUUAAACAUAUAUGAAUAUGAAAGUUGAAAGACACGUAUGGAUUACAACAAGUGAAUAUUGGAUUGAAUGAUGGUGGAUAUGUGGACGAAGCCUUAAGUCCUAAGAUUUCCAAAUUUUAGUAUAAAUAAGAUGUAAGCUUUUACAUUUCAAUUGUUCUGGCUUCUUUCCUCACGCUCAUAUUCACACCCAAUUUCUUUAGUUAUUCACCCCAAAAUACUCCAAAGUCCUGCCCCGUUUUAAGUGUUUUAACCCUUGAUCAUUGAUACCCUGUCCGACUGACGUAGGGCCCCGUAACUUAUGUCAAGCCUCUGCUUAAAUUCGUUAGGGUUCUGUCUCGUGAUGUAGGGAUAAAGUGGAAUUGGGUUAUUAUACUUAAUGUGAGUGCAAAAUAUAUUAUGAAAUAAUCCUGGAGUUAUACCCAGAUAUAUCAACCCUCCUAAAAUAUUUCCGACACUCCCAAAAUAUUUAGAAUGCCCCUAUAUGUCUUAGAAUGCACCCCGUAUAUGAAAACCGGCCCCGAAUACCUUUAUUUUAUUAAAAUUAAUUAAAAAUAAGAAUCUGGGGUCGCUCGCGGGCCGCGAAGACCUUAUUCGUCUUCUACGCGGGCCGCGACAGCUAAUAGAUCAGGUGAUACCACAAGCUGACACGUGUCGAUGACUCAGCAACCGUAUGCCGCCCUAUGGGUCCACGCGAGCCGCGUAAAACCUCACCUCAUCCUACGCGGGGCGCGACAAGGUCCAAGAUCAGCCCUAUAAAUUGAAUCGUCGAGCCUUCAGUCCAAUUCAUUCAGAAUUCAAUUUUCUCUCUCUCUUUCUAUAGUGUAGGCUCUAUACCCAGGCAUUAUACCCCCCUAAUUAGCGAAGCUCUGACUCGUUGUAAGUAUCAUAACCCCUGGAUACGUAUUUGAUACUCUGCCCAAUUGAUCUAGGGUUCCGUAACGGCUAUCGUGGUUCUGCCCGACGUAGUCGUUGGAAUGUCGUCUCGGGGAGGGUAUUACUAAUGUUAAAAUGGGUUAUUAUACUAACGCGUGUGCAUUGUUUAUUUAAUUAGAUUAUAACCAGGAAGUCACAAAGGAAAGCCCUAUAAUAGCAAUUCUAAAUGCUUAUCAGAUGUGCUACCAUUAACUUAGUGUGAAGCCCAUAAAAGCCAGCUGGAGAGCACUGA
This 1233-nucleotide long non-coding RNA is filed under the name Helianthus annuus (common sunflower). RNAcentral describes it as "sRNA HanXRQr2_Chr13g0594031". The record is from RNAcentral. Lineage: Eukaryota; Viridiplantae; Streptophyta; Magnoliopsida; Asterales; Asteraceae.